RNAcentral lists this unclassified non-coding RNA (322 nucleotides) under Hevea brasiliensis (rubber tree). Lineage: Eukaryota; Viridiplantae; Streptophyta; Magnoliopsida; Malpighiales; Euphorbiaceae. The record is from RNAcentral.
AUAGGAAGUUCCAACAAACAAUCCUGUUUGUUCUAUGUUAGGUGCAUCCUUUUGGUUCUCAACAAUAGAGGGAACUGGCUUUGAGGCUUCUGAAUUUGCUUUUUGUUGCUGGAUGAGUUAAUUGCAUUGAUGGGUUUUCUUCUAUUUCAUUCUUUGGAAGUUAUUACUUCUGUUGAUUGAUGUCAUUGAUUUAUUUUAUUUUAUGGAUUUGGCAUGUUGGGCUUACUUCCAUCUGAUGGAUUUAAAGUUUUCAUUGAGGCUUUGUGGGAACCCCUCUUUAAGUUAUUCUUCUCCUCAAUGAUGACUGGGUAUGGUCAUUCUG